GAUGAACGCUGGCGGCGUGCCUAAUACAUGCAAGUCGAGCGAACAGACGAGGAGCUUGCUCCUCUGACGUUAGCGGCGGACGGGUGAGUAACACGUGGAUAACCUACCUAUAAGACUGGGAUAACUUCGGGAAACCGGAGCUAAUACCGGAUAAUAUAUUGAACCGCAUGGUUCAAUAGUGAAAGACGGUUUUGCUGUCACUUAUAGAUGGAUCCGCGCCGCAUUAGCUAGUUGGUAAGGUAACGGCUUACCAAGGCAACGAUGCGUAGCCGACCUGAGAGGGUGGUCGGCCACACUGGAACUGAGACACGGUCCAGACUCCUACGGGAGGCAGCAGUAGGGAAUCUUCCGCAAUGGGCGAAAGCCUGACGGAGCAACGCCGCGUAAGUGAUGAAGGUCUUCGGAUCGUAAAACUCUGUUAUUAGGGAAGAACAAAUGUGUAAGUAACUAUGCACGUCUUGACGGUACCUAAUCAGAAAGCCACGGCUAACUACGUG
RNAcentral lists this ribosomal RNA (497 nucleotides) under uncultured bacterium. RNAcentral describes it as "partial 16S ribosomal RNA". It matches the Rfam family "Bacterial small subunit ribosomal RNA", at positions 28 to 507 of the family's 1533-position model. The record is from RNAcentral.